AGAAUUGAUCUUGGUCAGGAUGAACGCUAGCUACAGGCUUAACACAUGCAAGUCGAGGGGCAGCAUUGGAGUAGCAAUACUCAGAUGGCGACCGGCGCACGGGUGAGUAACACGUAUCCAACCUGCCGCUUACUCGGGGAUAGCCUUUCGAAAGAAAGAUUAAUACCCGAUGGUAUAAAGAGUUCGCAUGUUCUCUUUAUUAAAGAAUUUCGGUAAGCGAUGGGGAUGCGUUCCAUUAGAUAGUUGGCGGGGUAACGGCCCACCAAGUCUACGAUGGAUAGGGGUUCUGAGAGGAAGGUCCCCCACAUUGGAACUGAGACACGGUCCAAACUCCUACGGGAGGCAGCAGUGAGGAAUAUUGGUCAAUGGACGAGAGUCUGAACCAGCCAAGUAGCGUGAAGGAUGACUGCCCUAUGGGUUGUAAACUUCUUUUAUAAGGGAAUAAAGUGAGGGACGUGUCCCUUUUUGUAUGUACCUUAUGAAUAAGGAUCGGCUAACUCCGUGCCAGCAGCAGC
Molecule: ribosomal RNA, 515 nt
Filed under: uncultured bacterium
Lineage: Bacteria
Description: bacterial SSU rRNA
Rfam family: Bacterial small subunit ribosomal RNA
Source: RNAcentral